RNAcentral lists this transfer RNA (82 nucleotides) under Ixodes scapularis (black-legged tick). It matches the Rfam family "tRNA". From Rfam's summary of the family: Transfer RNA (tRNA) molecules are approximately 80 nucleotides in length. Their secondary structure includes four short double-helical elements and three loops (D, anti-codon, and T loops). Further hydrogen bonds mediate the characteristic L-shaped molecular structure. tRNAs have two regions of fundamental functional importance: the anti-codon, which is responsible for specific mRNA codon recognition, and the 3' end, to which the tRNAs corresponding amino acid is attached (by aminoacyl-tRNA synthetases). tRNAs cope with the degeneracy of the genetic code in two manners: having more than one tRNA (with a specific anti-codon) for a particular amino acid; and 'wobble' base-pairing, i.e. permitting non-standard base-pairing at the 3rd anti-codon position. Lineage: Eukaryota; Metazoa; Arthropoda; Arachnida; Ixodida; Ixodidae. The record is from Rfam by way of RNAcentral.
GCAGUCGUGGCCGAGUGGUUAAGGCGAUGAACUAGAAAUCCAUUGGGGUCUCCCCGCACAGGUUCGAAUCCUGUCGAUUGCG